CCAAGCCCAGGUGCAGAUCACUUUCCAUGAGCUCACCAACCAGCAGGGCUCCAUUUGGCAGCAACCAGCCUAAGAAAAAUUGCUCUGAGGUAUGUGUUCAGCUACCUCCAGCUGCUGCCUGUGCAGGAAUAACAUGAGAUCACUGUCUCAGAGGACGCCUUCUACCCAGCCCCUGGCCAUCAGCAGGUGGCCCUCGAAAGGGAAAAGCCUAUGAGCUAUGGCAUGGGCUAUCUGGCGCCCGGAUGGUGGGAUCGCACCCAGCUCGACACGCGCCAUUUCAGAAAACAGAGUGCCCUUUCUGAAAGUGUGACGGCUCCACUUUUGAGGACGCCAGGGCGCCACUGGACUAUGGUUUGAAGUCAUUAGUGGUUUUCUGUGGGUGAAUUUCUUGGAUUAACAAGAGAAUCUCGGCACAAGAGCCAGCUUCUUUCUACUCCUGCCCUGACACGUAAGCUCUCUUUGUGCUUUCCUAGCAACAAUGACCACAUGCAUCCAGAGUGCUGCUUUGGCUUAACUGCCACCUGCAAUGACCGCUCGAGAACAGGUUGAAGAGUGAAAACACUGCAAAUUCAGCAAACAGUGCUUGUUCCAGAGAGCAUGUUCUCUUAACCCAUGAACUUCUAACAGUGCAACAUGUUCUCUAAUCCCAAUACAUUCUGGCUUCCCUAUUUUUUCCACUAUCAUAAUUGAGUCUUAGGCACUGGUCUCCUCAUAAUUCUGAUAAUGAGGUAAAAUCAUG
Gallus gallus (chicken) is the source of this 739-nucleotide long non-coding RNA. Lineage: Eukaryota; Metazoa; Chordata; Aves; Galliformes; Phasianidae. The record is from Ensembl.